Non-coding RNA from Meloidogyne enterolobii, 77 nucleotides. Lineage: Eukaryota; Metazoa; Nematoda; Chromadorea; Rhabditida; Meloidogynidae. The record is from the annotation of a GenBank genome assembly.
CGGCCCAGUUAGUAUAGUGGUUAGUACUUCUCGUUGUGGCCGAGACGACGCAGGUUCGAUUCCUGCACUGGGCAUCG